This 686-nucleotide long non-coding RNA is filed under the name Mytilus galloprovincialis (Mediterranean mussel). Lineage: Eukaryota; Metazoa; Mollusca; Bivalvia; Mytilida; Mytilidae. The record is from RNAcentral.
AGAAUGUCAAGAAUAUGUCAAGUAAUUUUCAUACAAAUUUGAUAUAAAUGAGAAUUUGUCAAGAAAAAUUAAGACACAAGUCAUACUUUUGGAGAAUGUCGAGUAAAAGUUCAUGCAAAUCAAGACAAAAACUGGUCUUUUCAGACUUUUAGACUUUUGUAGUGUCUGUAUAUAUACUUUUUUCAAUUAUAUAUUUUAUAAAUAAAAGUAUAUAUGUUUUUCAAUUAUAUUUUGUAUAUACAAUUAUAUGUUUUUCAAUUAUAUUUUGUAUAUCAAAUAAUAUGUUUUUCAAUUAUAUUUUGUGUAUAAAAUUAUCAAUUAUUUUUUGUAUAUACAAUUAUAUGUUUUCCAUUAUAUUUUGUAUACGUUGUGAUAAGUUUGUUAAACCUAGGCCAGUAAGUUUUUGACCCAAAUCAAAAAAUGAAAGACUGUCAUGUUCCAAAAGAGGGGCGAAAGAUACCAGAGGGACAGUAAAAUCAUAGAUUGAAAAUAAACUGACAAUGCCAUGGCUUAAAAUUAAAACCAAACAGACAAAUAAUAGAACAGCAGACACAACAUAGUAAACUAAAGACUGUCAAUUCCCUUAAACCGUGUAAUAUAUUUCGUAUCACCAUUUACCUUAGCCGUAAUCGAAAAAAGAUAUAGGAAUUUUGGUCCUCAAUUCUCUCUAACUUCGUAAUUAAUUU